RNAcentral lists this transfer RNA (72 nucleotides) under Asparagus officinalis (garden asparagus). RNAcentral's name for it is "tRNA A4U43_Asp391". Lineage: Eukaryota; Viridiplantae; Streptophyta; Magnoliopsida; Asparagales; Asparagaceae. The record is from RNAcentral.
GCGGUUGUAUUAUAGUGGUGAGUGUACCCGCUUGUCACGUGGGUCACUCGGUUUCGAUCCUCGGCAACUGUG